This 28-nucleotide small RNA is filed under the name Bombyx mori (domestic silkworm). RNAcentral's name for it is "ovarian small RNA-37585". The record is from RNAcentral. Lineage: Eukaryota; Metazoa; Arthropoda; Insecta; Lepidoptera; Bombycidae.
UUGAAAACAGUUGUCCACGGUGUGUCCC